Long non-coding RNA from Aricia agestis (brown argus), 230 nucleotides. RefSeq lists it as uncharacterized. The transcript is spliced from 3 exons. The record is from RefSeq and is a predicted model, not a curated record. Lineage: Eukaryota; Metazoa; Arthropoda; Insecta; Lepidoptera; Lycaenidae.
CAUAAUUUAUCCUAAAAAUAAUUCGUAAGAAAAAAGGUUCGUGAUACAUGGCGGGGUCACGCUUCCUCUAGCUUGCUCUACUACCAUACACGCGGUCAUUUGAAUUUGGAAAAUUUUUGACAGUUAUGUCAUACAAACGAUGCGAUAGAUAUUGCUACAUCUGUAAAAUUAGAAUACAGUGGUAGACGAAAGGCCGAUAACCGCUAGAGACAGGACUGAGCGUUUGGACC